CGGGACGUGGCGCAGCCUGGUAGCGCGCACCCUUGGGGUGGGUGAGGUCCCGAGUUCGAAUCUCGGCGUCCCGACCA
Molecule: transfer RNA, 77 nt
Filed under: bacterium
Lineage: Bacteria
Also listed under: 3 other names
Description: tRNA-Pro
Rfam family: tRNA
About the family: Transfer RNA (tRNA) molecules are approximately 80 nucleotides in length. Their secondary structure includes four short double-helical elements and three loops (D, anti-codon, and T loops).
Source: RNAcentral